AUGCCAAGAAAAGGUCAAAGGUCUCAGUCCCAGAAGCUUAGACGUCAGAAGGAGAAAGAACAGGUGAAUGUUUCUCAGAGCAGUGAGCAGGUAAAGGUGUGUGUUUCAGCUUUUCCCAGCACAGAAGUGCAGAGCAGUGUUCAGACAGCCACAGUGUCUUAUGCAGAUGUGGUAAAGAGAGGCGUUCCCUCAGUGUCUGUCCCAGAGCCUGAAGUUAUGCAGGUAAUCCAUAUUGAACCCCAGGUAAUUGUACAAACACAGCAUGAUGGAGAGACGGCCACAGUGUCUUAUGCAGAUGUGGUAAAGAGAGGUGUUCCCUUAGUGUCUGUCCCGAAGCCUGAAGUUAUGCAGGUAAUCCAGACUGAACCCCAGGUAACUGUAACACAGCAUGAUGGACAAGCUCCACGACAGUCUCAUGUACAGGUUACAAACAGUGAAAGUCGUCCACGAGUGAGUAGCAUCUGUGCGUCCCGAAGCCAGGCUUCUCCUAGGUAUGGAAAGUACCGUAAUCAGCAAUGCAUGGCUAAUAGUUUGGUUUUCCUGUCAUUCUUACACGAGGAUGAAUUCAUUACCAGAGCAGAUCUUAACCGUGUGUUGGACAAAGGCCAUGCCGUGUAUUCAGAUGCCAGACUGAGGUUUGUGAACAGCGUGUUUCUAGCCUGCGAUGAGCUUCCCACAGUGGUCACCAGCCGCAGACACGAGUAUCAAGUGGACAUGUCUCAGUUUGCUCGUUACGGCACAUUUGAUGGUACAGAUCACCUUCCGAGCCUUGAACAGGGACUACAGUGUUUGGUUUCAGACGUUCGCUACGCUUUGCUAGUCAUGGGAGGAACAGUCAUCGCUGUUUGCAGGCUGACUUCUGGUGAAUAUGCAUAUUUUGACCCUCACCCACGUAAGUCUACAGGUAUGCCCAUGUCGCUGGGUGUAAGUGGUGGAACUGCAGUUACGUUAAGAUUCACAUGUCUCAACGACAUGAUUGACAGGAUCAAACGUUUGUACCGAAUGUUUAGCAUCGCCCCAUCCUGCACUUAUGAGCUACAGCCUGUCGAGUUUCAUAGUGAAUACGCUGCUGACCAAAGAGAUGCUGAUGAAAACAGACAAACAGCUACAACUGUUCCAGCACCAGCUUUAAAUGAAACUGUUCAUGAAAUAAACUCCCAAACAUCUACUGACCAGACACAGAAGACUGUGAGAGACACUUUAACCACUGAAGUGAUGUCAUCCAGAGUGGAUUAUUCAAAUAAGACAGCUGCUACUGAAAACAACCAUCUUCCUUCUGAGUAUUUAGAAAAAGGAACAUCUUCUGUGAGAGAAACGCAGGUAACAUCAGAUUCUACUCCUCAGAAUGAUUCAAACAUUGCCUCCUGUUUAACUAAGACAACAGAGGAACUUUCACAAAAACUGCUGAAACGUAAUAAACAGGAAAGAAGAAAAAUAAGGAGAAGAUUGUUAGUCCAAGAAAAACUACCACAGAGAAAGGAAAAUCAGAAAAAGAAAGAAAGGCAGAUGUACACUUUUGAUGAAAGGUUUAAGGCAAAGAAAAAAGGUUGUAGUAGAAAGUCUAAUGAUCCUGAUCACCGACAGAAGAAGAGUGUGUACAAAAAAUAUCUGUAUAAACUAAAUGCUACAUAUAGAGAGAAACAGAGAGAACAUUUCAGAAGUACCUAUAGAGAAAGUGCUCAAAUAAGAGAGAAAAAAAGAGAACGUGUCAUAAGGAUGUAUAAAGACGAUUCUUUAUUCAGAGAAAAGCAGAAGGAACAGAUAACAAGAACAUAUAGAGACUCUCCCGUGUUCCGAGAAAAGCAGAAGGAACGUAUGAGAAAAACAUAUAAAGAAUCUUAUAGACAAUCUCCUAUGUUUAGAGAACAGCAGAAGGAACGUAUAAGAAGCAAUUACAGAACUUGUGCUGGAUUCAGAGAGAAACAUAAAGCUUACAUGAGGUCAUAUGUAUAUAGUCUAUAUAAAGAAAGCGAAGAAUUUAAACAGAAAAAACAAUCUUACAUGACUAGGCGUUAUGGAGAAGAGAGACAAUUUCAGCAACAGCACAAAGAGAAUAUGAGAGAACGAAUGAGAGUAAAAUAUUGGAAUAGUUUCUCUUUUAGACAGAUGCAUAAUAUUAGCUGUGCAAUGAACAUAAAACGAAAAUAUCGCCAGAUGCAUCGACCAGCUGAGAGUUUACAGUGUCAUCCAGAUAACACUUUAAUGAAUGAGGCCAUAUCUCGUUUCAGAUCAAACAUUAAGUCAGCACCAUCUUAUGUUUGUACUGUUUGUCUAAAAGCUUCUUUUCCUAAUCAGGUGAAAAUCUGCAAAAGAGAAAAUUACUCAAAACACCAAACUGUAGCUCAGCAGUGUCUAACUGGUAAAUUUGUUCAUGUGUGUGAUGAAGCAUGUCAUGAUCACUGCAGCUUUCCUGUUGAGAGAAAAAAGGAGUAUAUCUGUCACACAUGUCACAGUUCCCUCAAAAGUGGAUGCAUGCCCAGGCUUGCUGCUGUCAAUGGUUUAGAACUGCAGGAUAUUCCAGCUGAACUGUGUGAUCUCAACAUUCUGGAGAGACAUCUGAUUGCCAAAUGCAUACCAUUUGCUAAGAUUAUUCCUCUUCCAAAGGGGAGACAGAGACUCAUACGUGGUAAUGUCGUGUGUGUACCAUCUGAGGUCCAACAAACAGUUGAAUGUUUACCCAGACUCAGAAGCCAUUCACAGAUAAUGAGGGUGAAAUUGAAAAGACGACUGUGCUACAAAGGCCAUCAGCUGUUCCAGACUGUCACCUGGUCUAAACUCAUUCAAGCCCUGCGUAAACUGAAACAAAUUCAUCCACAGUACACCGAUAUUGUUAUCAGAGAUGAUGCAUUGCUUUGUGAUCCAACAUUACCUGAUGAUGACAGCAGUGAUGAAGCCAGCAUGGCAAGUGAUGAUUAUGAUGAAGCAGAUUUAAUGGAAAUUGACAACUAUGAAAAAGAUGCCCUUUUGUGCGAAAGUGAGUCUGAAAGUGAACAAGCUAUUAAUAUGCAAUCCUGUGAUGAACAACCAGAGGAACAAAAUCCAGAUGAACCAGAAAGUGAUUUGAACAAUGGAGGUUUUGCUCUAGAAAGUUGUCUGCAGCCUGUAGACAUUUCAGAAGAGAUUCUCUGUUUCACUGAUAACACAUAUUGUGUGGCUCCUGCAGAAAGAAACAAUCCUGUUAGCUUCUUCAGAACUCCUCAUUUGGAAGCCAUGGCAUUUCCUGUGCAGUUUCCUACUGGUCAGAAUACACUGGAUGAAAAGAGACGUCUCAAGCUCACACCGAGUGCUUACUUCAAGUCAAGGCUUUUCAACAUUGAUGCAAGAUUUGCUAAAGAUACAAAUUACCUGUUUUUCUCACAGUUUGUCACUGAAAUACAUUUGGCUAAUUCCAGCAUGACAAUACAGCUAAGGAAAGGUAAAACUAUGACGAAAGAUGGACGCAAAAUCACAUCAGGAAUGUUACAAAGUAAGACAGAAGUAGAGAAGCUGGUAAGAAAUAAAGAUGCAAUCAGAUUUAUGCAGCCACUCAGAGGAACUCCAGCUUACUGGCAGAAAACUACCAGAGAUCUAUUCAGUAUGGUUCGCCAAAUAGGAACACCUCAGUUCUUUGUCACUUUCUCUGCUGCUGAGAUGAGAUGGCCGGAAGUGAUUCAAGCAAUAAAGAGACAGCAAGGUGAAGAGGUUGAUUUUGAAGCCCUGGACUGGUCAGAAAAGUGUGAAAUUCUAAGAUCAAAUCCAGUAACCACCAUGCGAAUGUUUGAUAAACGUGUUGAGGCUUUGUUCAGAGAUUUGCUUUUUUCUCCUGCACAGCCCCUUGGUGAGAUCAUUGAUUACUUUUACAGAGUUGAGUUCCAGCACAGAGGUAGUCCACAUAUACACAUGUUGCUGUGGAUUCGAGAAAAGGUAGAAGUAGAUGUGGAUGAUGACCAAACUGUCUGUGACUUUGUGGACAGAUACAUCUCAGCUCAGCUCCCUGAUCCAGAAAAACAACCUGAACUGCACAAAAAAGUCACUGAACUACAAAAGCACAGCAAAAACCACACAAAGACAUGCUUUAAGAGUGUGAACUCUGGUUGUAGAUUUGGGUUUCCAAAACCACCAUCCACAAGAACAAUGAUUGUGAGACAGGAUGAGGAUUCAGACACUGAAGCUGCAAAAGCCAAACUCAGACCUUUGUUGAACCUGCUGAAAGAACCUGAAGCUGCUUCCCUCACCAUAGAGCAGAUUCUGUCACGAUGCAACUUGACAAUGAAUGAGUAUGAACAAUGCCUCCAAGACAUAAACAAGAAAACAGCUCUUAUUCUGAAACGUGACCCAAAUGAGUGUUGGAUCAACAAUUACAACCCAGACCUGCUUGAAGCCUGGAACUCUAAUUUAGAUGUCUCAUUAAUUUUGAAUGCCUAUUCAUGUAUAGAAUACCUCUGUAAAUAUAUAACGAAGAAAGAAUCUGGCCUCUCUGAAUACCUGAAGACAGUUAUUGAUAACUCUGAUAAGAACACCGUCAAUGAAUGUGAUGAAAUGAGAGCUGUGAUGCAGGCUUACUCAAAAAAGAGAGAAAUCAGCGCACAGGAGUGUGUGACUCGAGUCUGUGGCCUAAAAAUGAAAAAGUGUUCCCGCAGUGUUGUAUUUGUACCAACAGAUGAUAACCCAGUAAAAAUGAGUCGCCCCAUGAGCUACCUGGAAAGCACAACACACGACAGUUGUAAUAUUUGGAUGACAAGUUUGAGUGAUAAAUACAAAUCCAGACCUGAGACACCAGAAUAUGAGGAAAUGUCACUGGCUGAUUUUGCUGCCUUGUGCAGGUUGGUGAGUGGUCCAAAUGAAGGAAAAGAUGUGCUUCCUCUUCUAAACCAGCUUGGAUUUGUACAAAUGCGAAAGAAUGAUAAACCAGCUAUAAUCAGGUAUUACCACUGCUCACAAGAAAAAGAUCCUGAGCAAUAUUAUGGUCGACUGUUGAGACUUUACCUUCCACACAGAUCAGAGCAGGAACUGAAACCACAAGGGUUCCAAACCUAUCAGUCCUUCUACAACUCGGGUUUUGUACGACUUCCAUGUUCAGACCACAGUGAGUCUGUGAAAAGGGUUGUGAAAAGAAAUAAAGACAAGUAUGAGAAGAACUCUGAGGAUAUUGAGAGUGCACUGGAAGAGUUUGAACAAAAUAGGGAUGUUGUGAUCAAUGAAUGGUGUAAUCUGGCUCCUGAAUCUGAAGUUGUGAGGUUGCAAUGUGAUGAGAAUCUUCCUGAGAGACAUUCUGAUGAUGAGAACGAACAGGAGAAUGUUCCCGACUACAGUCGUCAGUCUGAUGCUGUAACAGAGAUCAGAGCCAUCAGAGAACAACCUGCAGUAGAUCCAGCCGUGGUAAGUGUAAUGUAUCAGAAUCUGAACCAGAAGCAGGCCUGCGUGUUCUAUGCCAUUAGAGACUGGUGUAUUCAGCGAGUUUGUGGUUUGAACCCAGAUCCAUUUUUCUUCUAUAUCAAUGGUGGUGCAGGAACUGGUAAGUCACAUCUGAUUAAGUGUAUUCACUCUGAAGCAUCAAAGAUCCUGAGCAGACUGCCUGCUAAUGCAGAAGAAGCUGACAUAUCAAAUCCAACUGUUUUACUGACUUCGUUUACCGGUACAGCAGCUUUUUCUAUCAGUGGCUCUACAUUACAUUCUCUACUGAAACUACCCAGGAGUCUGAAACCACCCAUUCAAGGACUUGGUAAUCAACUGGAUGAAGUCAGAUCUGAGCUUAUAAAUGCUGAAAUUAUUGUUAUUGAUGAGAUUUCAAUGGUUUCAAAACCCCUUUUGCUUAUGUGGAUGCAAGACUGA
Molecule: long non-coding RNA, 5811 nt
Filed under: Oreochromis niloticus (Nile tilapia)
Lineage: Eukaryota; Metazoa; Chordata; Actinopteri; Cichliformes; Cichlidae
Description: lncRNA (ENSONIG00000033979.1)
Source: RNAcentral